UCCUGUGUUGUUAAAGGCGCGCCUGAGGCGUACCUGAGGCGUCAAGCGCACAAGGCGCUAAGAAAAUCGCCUUCUACAGCGCGAGGCGGGCUAUGUUUGCCAGACGCGCGCCUGGGCACGCCUAGGGCGCUUUCGCGCCUCACAGAAGGCGCGAUCGAAGCGCAUCGCGGGAUCGAAGGGCAUCACGCGAUCCUUCCCGUUCACGAUUUCAAACCUAAUUUGGUUUGGAAUUAGGGCACAGAGAAGAAAAGGGAAGAAGAAAAUAACGGAAGGAGAAGAAGAAACCUUGCAAAAGAAUCGCGCCAUCCUCCACUGCCGCCGCCGCUGCUGAGUUGCUUCCGUCGCUGCCCAGGUAUGAGUUUUUUCCAUCUUUUUUUUUGUUUUUCUAUUCUUCACUUCAUCUUCUUCUUCUCAUCUUCUUCUUUUGUAAUCUUCUUCGCUUCUUCGCUUCGCUUCUUCACUCCACUUCUUUUUCUGUUUUCCUUUUUUUUUCUUCUUCUUCUUCUUUUCGUCGUUUUCACUGUUCAAUAUUUCAAGUUUUCAAUGUUUUUUCAUCACUUUCGUUUCUUCUCUCUGUUAUAUCUUCUUCCUCUAUUUUCUUUUUUGCUUUUUCCCUUCCCGUUGACAGCAAAACUGCUGCUGAUGUGAUGCUGUCUCGUUUCUUUAUUUCUUUUUUUUUUUUUGCAGUUUUUCUUUUUGUUUUUUUUUUGUUUUUUUGUUGCUGAGACGGUAAAAAACUGCUGCUGCUGUGAAAACUGUGAUGUUGUCCCUGUUUGCUGGUAAUUUUAGCCAAUUAAAACAAUGUGCUUGCUGGUAAUGUGAUGUGCAAAUAUUUUCUCUCCCUUUUUGCAUAAUCAAGCAGUUGUCCCUGUUUUUCUUUUUAUUUUCCUAUUUUUCUAUUGCUGGUACUAGUGGUACAGUACUUUUCUAUUAUUGUUGAUACUAGCUACAGUAGUUUACCAUUCCAUUAAUUCAUUAUUUUUUUAAUUUUGUUUUUAAUUUUUUAGGUUAUUUUCUUAUUCAAUUAUCAUGGAAGGUAGUAGUGAUACUCCAACAUAUAUAUCAAAAGAUCCGGCAUGGAAUUAUUUUCAAAGAGUUAAUCCGAAUAACAAAAAUAAUUUAAUUUGUAACUUUUGUCAAAAAGUUACAAUAGGAGGUAUCUAUCGUGCAAAACAACAUCUUGUUGGAGGAUUUCGAAAUACUACGACUUGCAAGAAAUGUCUGCCUCAUAUACGUGAAAAAAUAAAAAAUUUCAUGGAGAAAAAGGCAGAGAAAAGCAAUCUUUCUAAACUUGCGACAUUAGACUUUGAGGAUGUAGACUCUCUUGGUGCUGAUAUUGAUAUGGAUGAUAUUGGAGCUAAAGUUGUACCACCUAUAAGUCAAAGUACAAGUUCUAGAUCAGUGAAUAUGCAAAAAAAGACCAAGACAAAUAAGUCCAAUGGAUACAUAUUUUGCUCCUAAUGUGCAAAAAAAUGUUGAAAGUAGAAAGGGUAAAGAAAGGCAAACUACGAUAAAUGAGGCAUACAAGAAAGCAUUGAGGGAAAAAACUUGUAUGACUAUAACUGAGUGGAUGUAUGAUGCAGCAAUUCCUUUUAAUGUCGUUAACUAUUCAAGCUUCAAAAGGAUGUUGGACUUGGUUGGCCAAUAUGGUGUAGGUCUAAAAGGACCUAGUUAUCAUGAGGUGCGGAUUCCUUUUCUAAAAAAGGCUGUUGAUAAUGUGACUAAUGAUUACAUUAAAUCGUGUGAAACAUAAUGGGCAAAGUAUGGUUGUAGUUUGAUGGCAGAUGGGUGGACAGACAUAAGGCAGAGGACAUUGAUUAAUUUUUUAGUGAAUUCUCCUGAAGGUUCAGUUUUCAUCGAAUCGGUAGAUGCUUCUGAUUAUGCAAAAACUGGAGAGAAAAUAUUUCAGUUGCUUGAUCGAUUUGUGGAGCAUGUACGAGAAGUAAAUGUUAUUCAAGUUGUAACAGAUAGUGCAAGUAACAAUGUGCUUGAUGGAAAAUUAUUAGAAGUAAAAAGGCCACGCUUGUAUUGGACUCCUUAUGCUGCUCACUGCGUCGACUUGAUCUUAGAAGAUAUUGGGAAAUUGCCUGAUUUUAAAGCAACAUUGAAGAAGGCAAUGAGUGUGAAUGCUUACAUUUAUGUUCGCCCCGGCAUGAUAAAUAUGUUGAGGCAAUU
Molecule: long non-coding RNA, 2175 nt
Organism: Zingiber officinale
Lineage: Eukaryota; Viridiplantae; Streptophyta; Magnoliopsida; Zingiberales; Zingiberaceae
Exons: 2
Source: RefSeq, a predicted model, not a curated record